AUAUGAAUCACCUGGGGAAUGUUGUUAAAAUUGCAGAUUCUGAUUCACUAGGUCUAGGAUGAAGCCCGAGAGUCUGCAUUUCCCACAGGUUUCCAAAGAAACUGAU
Molecule: microRNA precursor, 106 nt
Filed under: Marmota monax (woodchuck)
Lineage: Eukaryota; Metazoa; Chordata; Mammalia; Rodentia; Sciuridae
Source: RNAcentral